GAUGAACGCUGGCGGCGUGCCUAAUACAUGCAAGUCGAGCGAACGGACGAGAAGCUUGCUUCUCUGAUGUUAGCGGCGGACGGGUGAGUAACACGUGGAUAACCCACCUAUAAGACUGGGAUAACUUCGGGAAACCGGAGCUAAUACCGGAUAAUAUUUUGAACCGCAUGGUUCAAAAGUGAAAGACGGUCUUGCUGUCACUUAUAGAUGGAUCCGCGCUGCAUUAGCUAGUUGGUAAGGUAACGGCUUACCAAGGCAACGAUGCAUAGCCGACCUGAGAGGGUGAUCGGCCACACUGGAACUGAGGCACGGUCCAGACUCCUACGGGAGGCAGCAGUAGGGAAUCUUCCGCAAUGGGCGAAAGCCUGACGGAGCAACGCCGCGUGAGUGAUGAAGGUCUUCGGAUCGUAAAACUCUGUUAUUAGGGAAGAACAUAUGUGUAAGUAACUGUGCACAUCUUGACGGUACCUAAUCAGAAAGCCACGGCUAACUACGUG
This 497-nucleotide ribosomal RNA is filed under the name uncultured bacterium. RNAcentral's name for it is "partial 16S ribosomal RNA". It matches the Rfam family "Bacterial small subunit ribosomal RNA", at positions 28 to 507 of the family's 1533-position model. The record is from RNAcentral.